GAAGUUCGGAUAAUGAAAGGACUCAACCACCCGAAUAUUGUGAAGCUGUUCGAGGUGAUAGAGACAGAGAAGACGCUUUAUCUCAUCAUGGAGUACGCCAGCGGAGGCGAGGUGUUUGAUUACCUCGUGUCUCACGGUCGUAUGAAGGAGAAAGAGGCUCGUGCCAAAUUCAGGCAGGUGAGCAGACGUCUCU
Molecule: long non-coding RNA, 193 nt
Organism: Nanorana parkeri
Lineage: Eukaryota; Metazoa; Chordata; Amphibia; Anura; Dicroglossidae
Exons: 3
Source: RefSeq, a predicted model, not a curated record